Molecule: ribosomal RNA, 402 nt
Filed under: uncultured bacterium
Lineage: Bacteria
Description: bacterial SSU rRNA
Rfam family: Bacterial small subunit ribosomal RNA
Source: RNAcentral
UGGGGAAUUUUGGACAAUGGGGGCAACCCUGAUCCAGCCAUGCCGCGUGCGGGAAGAAGGCCUUCGGGUUGUAAACCGCUUUUAGCCGGGAAGAAAAGGCAGGGGCUAACACUCUCUGUUCUUGACGGUACCGGCGGAAUAAGCACCGGCUAACUACGUGCCAGCAGCCGCGGUAAUACGUAGGGUGCGAGCGUUAAUCGGAAUUACUGGGCGUAAAGCGUGCGCAGGCGGUUCGUUAAGUCUGAUGUGAAAGCCCCGGGCUCAACCUGGGAAUGGCAUUGGAUACUGGCGGGCUUGAGUGUGGCAGAGGGGGGUGGAAUUCCGCGUGUAGCAGUGAAAUGCGUAGAGAUGCGGAGGAACACCGAUGGCGAAGGCAGCCCCCUGGGCUGACACUGACGCUCA